GAUGAACGCUGGCGGCGUGCCUAACACAUGCAAGUCGAACGGAGUCCAGCCUUUAAGGCCUUCCUGUCGAAGAGGGGAAGACUGAGUGGCGGACGGGUGAGUAACACGUGUGCAACCUGGCUCAUUUCGGGGGAUAACAGAGAGAAAUUUCUGCUAAUACCGCAUACGCACACACUGCCGCAUGGCCGAGGGUGAAGAGAGAAUCGCUAUGAUAUGGACCCGCGUCUGAUUAGCCUGUUGGCAGGGUAAGAGGAUACCACAGCGACGAUCAGUAGCCGAUCAGAGAGGAAGAACGGCCACAUUGAGACUGAGAAACGGCCGAAACUCCUACGGGAGGGAGCAGUGGGGGAUAGUGCAAAAUGGGGGGAACCAUGAUGCAGCGACGAUGCGUGAGUGAAGAAGUAAGGCGGUAUGUAAAGCUCUAUCAGCAGGGAAGAUAAUGACAGUACCUGAAUAAGAAGCCCCGGCUAACUACGUG
Molecule: ribosomal RNA, 478 nt
Filed under: uncultured bacterium
Lineage: Bacteria
Description: partial 16S ribosomal RNA
Rfam family: Bacterial small subunit ribosomal RNA
Source: RNAcentral